Sceloporus undulatus (fence lizard) is the source of this 588-nucleotide long non-coding RNA. RefSeq lists it as uncharacterized. The record is from RefSeq and is a predicted model, not a curated record. NCBI's taxonomy places the organism in Eukaryota, Metazoa, Chordata, Lepidosauria, Squamata, Phrynosomatidae. The transcript has 2 exons.
CCAUCCAGCCUCUGCUUAAAGGCAGCCUCCAAGGAGGGAGACUCUGCCACAGUCUCCAUUGAGGAAGGAGUGACCAUCUUCCAGAUGAUCCAGAGCAUCCGCCUCGGGGGCUAAACGGACGUCGGGAUCAUCUCUGGCCGUUCUGACCUCCGCCGAGCCUCAGGGAAUCGUGGGCUGAUGCUCCGGACCUCCCAGCCGGCCACCUUUCGGAGCCAUGACAGUCUUCCUUCCUCUUCCCGCAUCCGGAUCGCUCCCUCCCUCUGAGAGCCUCCCGAUUCCUCCCUCUGUCUCUCUUCAGCCGGGACACUUUCUUUUGCAGGGAAGAAACUGAGAAAGAGAGAGGGAGCCCAAGCCCUCUUGGCUUUCUUCUGCUGGAGGGACCUUUUUCCAUGGAACUCAAAACAGUGUCUUGAAACAAGCAAGAGGGGAGAUUUCCCUGAAUCUGCAAACACUUUGCAGCGCGGGGGGGGGGGGCCAUUCGCAGGGUGGCAACUGCCCCCGUCAACCUGUUGCACUUCAUUGUCGCCAAUCCUUUUACACUGCCGCCGCUGAGUAAAAAUAAAAAAUGUCGACCUCAUUGAAACCUUU